GCGCGGGAAGCGAGCGGAUCCCUUCGGGGUGAAGCUCGUGGAACGAGCGGCGGACGGGUGAGUAACACGUGGGCAACCUGCCUGUAAGACCGGAAUAACCCCGGGAAACCGGGGCUAAUGCCGGGUAAUACUUUUCUUCGCAUGAAGGAAAGUUGAAAGAUGGCUUCUCGCUAUCACUUACAGAUGGGCCCGCGGCGCAUUAGCUAGUUGGUGAGGUAACGGCUCACCAAGGCGACGAUGCGUAGCCGACCUGAGAGGGUGAUCGGCCACACUGGGACUGAGACACGGCCCAGACUCCUACGGGAGGCAGCAGUAGGGAAUCUUCCGCAAUGGACGAAAGUCUGACGGAGCAACGCCGCGUGAACGAUGAAGGUCUUCGGAUCGUAAAGUUCUGUUGUUAGGGAAGAACAAGUACCGUGCGAAUAGAGCGGUACCUUGACGGUACCUAACGAGGAAGCCCCGGCUAACUACGUGCCAGCAGCCGCGGUAAUACGUAGGGGGCAAGCGUUGUCCGGAAUUAUUGGGCGUAAAGCGCGCGCAGGCGGUUCCUUAAGUCUGAUGUGAAAGCCCACGGCUCAACCGUGGAGGGUCAUUGGAAACUGGGGAACUUGAGGACAGAAGAGGAGAGUGG
RNAcentral lists this ribosomal RNA (631 nucleotides) under Halobacillus sp. YIM 94161. Its description in RNAcentral is "bacterial SSU rRNA". It matches the Rfam family "Bacterial small subunit ribosomal RNA", at positions 57 to 664 of the family's 1533-position model. The record is from RNAcentral. Lineage: Bacteria; Bacillati; Bacillota; Bacilli; Caryophanales; Bacillaceae.